Suricata suricatta (meerkat) is the source of this 308-nucleotide long non-coding RNA. RefSeq lists it as uncharacterized. The transcript is spliced from 3 exons. The record is from RefSeq and is a predicted model, not a curated record. Lineage: Eukaryota; Metazoa; Chordata; Mammalia; Carnivora; Herpestidae.
AAAAAUGUUUUAAACCCAAUGAGAAUGGGAAACUUGAUUGUACUGGCUGGUAUCAAACCACCCCACGUUAGCAGUAACUUCAGGUAAGGAUACGGCUUGUCCGAAGUAGACAUACGCAGGAGGACAGAAGGGAAAACAUCUAUCAAGUUUUCAGAGUCUCCACUAAUGGUCCUGAUUUCUGAAGGAGUCUGGAACAUCCUUCUCCAUGCUGGCAUACAUCAGUUCUUCUCCGGAGGUUCCUUUCUUCCAUUCGGAUCUGGGCUGCUCACACUGGAAGCCUCCUCCCUGCUUUCAUCUGGCAGCACCUC